UUUUUUAUGGUUAAAUCUUGAAUUCCUAACCCAUUCCUAGCCUUAGGUAUAGUAACAGAAGACAAUUGUAGAAGACGAAUCUUUCUUUGGUCAGUGACGGAACCCCAAAAGAAGUUGCGGUCAUAGCGUUCCAGUCUUUUAAUCAUGUAUGAAGGUAACUUACAAGCUUGCAUGACGUGAUUAGGAAUAGAAUUAAUAGUAGAGAGGAUGAGAGUUGAUCUUCCCGCCGCUGACAUGAAAUUUGCUUUCUAACCUGCGAGACGCGAUUUAAAGUUAUCAAAAGGAAUUGAAAAUCUCCUUUCGUUAGCCUUGAAUUUGAGAUAGGAUAUCCCAAGCAUUUUCCAAACCUGACCCCCUCUUUAAUGUUAAUAGUUGACUGCUAUGGCUUUGCUAGUAGAAGACGCAUUUGAUGAGAAAAACGUGAAGGAUUUGGCGUAGUUUAUUUUCUGACUUGAAAUAACACUAAAAUUCAUCAAAACAUUCAAGAUCGUAUUGGAGGUUGAUUUGGUGAGUUUGCCACAUAAAAUAAUGUCAUCUGCAAAAGAAGAUGAGAUAAAAGAGUGUAUAGACACGUAAUUUUAUUCUUCUCGAGAGUGUAUUUUUUACCUGUUUACCUUAUUCCACCAUGUAUCUUCAAUCAUGUGACAAUUUCUCCACCAGAAAACAAAAUAACAAACUCAUAACAAACCCAAUCCCUAAUAUUCUUUUGAUAACAAAAUUAACCGCUCCCCUCAGUAAAAUUGGGACACCUCACACUCCUACCUCAUACCCCCUUCUACCAACAUACCCCACCCCACUCACGUUUUCAACACAUCACACACAAAAAAGAAACACACUCAUACUAGGAAAAUAUAUACCAUCACAAAUAUACACCCACUGGACAGAUCACAAUAUUCACGGGGCCUACCAUAUUCAUACACACUACACAUACACAGAUCCUUCAUCAUUUCCCAUGGAUUAACAGCAACAUACAUACACGCACAGCCAUGGGGGGCUUCUUCGAUUUUUUCCAUUGAACAAAGGGUAACGCACUCACAGACAUCUCACUCGAAAUACACUCUAAGAUACACACAACACACAAAACUCACACACAAUAUUCAUAUACACACAAAGAGAGCAAAAGCUCGCAUUUCACCGAAAAACUCGCGACCACCGAAAACAAACCAUUAACACACACACGAUACACACAGGGAGCUCCAUACAGUGAAAGGAAUUUCAAUGGAGAAGGAGAUCGGACGAGAGAGAUGGUGAGAAAAAUGGAGAACUAAGAGAGAUAGAGAAAAUAGAGAAAGAGAGAUUGAGGGAGAUAAAGAGAAAAAAACGGAGAGGAGAGGGAGAUAUUGGAGCAAGAAAGGAGAGAAAAGAGACAAGGGUUGACUGUUCCGGCGAAGUCUUCAUCGGGAAACGCCACUGCUGCCCAAAUUUUGAUCUGUCCACCAUUUUCAUCAUUGUCGAGCUCGUCGGAGCUCCGGUGAGACGAAAACGGUGAAUUCAGCUCUGUUCCGACCAAAUCGACAAAACUCAACCCCUUUUUAGUCGGUUCCGAUUGAGUCCCGUCGAAAAACGACCAAGUUGAAAAUGAGUCAGUCCCUUUUUAGUCGGUUCCGAUUGAGUCCCGUCGAAAAACGACCAAGUUGAAAAUGAGUCAGUUGGGUCGAUUCAAAUUAGUGUAGAUUUUGGUGUUAUUGUGAGUUGGAUUUGGAGUUUUAUCAUUGAGGUUCGAUUCGAGGUUCCCGGCGGAGUUGGUGUUAUUGUGAGUUGGAUUUGGAGUUUUAUCAUUGAGGUUCGAUUCGAGGUUUCCGGCGCAAACUCCGUCUCAUUUAAUUGAGUAAUACUCGAAUGCAAGAGGCAUUAAGGUCCAUUCUUCAUCUCAUUCUCAAUUAAUCUUGAUUGUUUGACACACUUUGUGUGAUAAAUUUAUUGGUGUGUGAAUCUUGUUUUUGUUGAUUUCGAUAUAUUUUAUAUCAUUGCGACUGAUUGUUGAUAUUGAUUGAUGGUGUGAAUUGGAUAAUCAAAGAAGUUGGGCUCAAUUUGGAGGGUAAAUCUUAAUUGUAGGGAUUAUGUUGAAAGUUGGCUAAUUCGUAACUUCAUUUGGAAUAUUUAAUUUGUUAGUUGAAUAAUUUUGAUGUCGUUGAAUAUGAUAGUACCAUGAUAGGUCGAGUUGAGUAGACAAAUGGUAGGCUCGGGUAGGCAAAUUUAAAACUUGUGGAAUGUUUGAAAUAUUUAUUGAAUGGUUUUUGUUUACCGCAUUUAGAUCAAUAAUAUUCAUUUAGCCGGGGAAUGCCCCAAGGCAAUUUAUAUUUAUUCACAGGGGAAUGCCUCGACGUAUUAUGUUGGCGAAAGAUGAUUGUGAUCAAGGCCUGAGGCAUCGAGUAAAGCAUUGGAGCGUAGUUUAGGAUUAGUGUAGGUUUACUUUUUAGUACCUUUUUAUUUCGGGCUGUAAUAAUUGGACUGGACACUAUAUUUUUGACUUGUUUUGUUUUGAUUGUUUGAUUGUUUUGUGUGUUUUGUGUGGUUUACACAUCAUAAUGUCAAAUUAGCUGAUAUAUUCCAUGAAACGAUCGUGGUCGAACCACGGGACCAAGGGGUGCCUAACAACUUCCCUGGUCAACAGAAUUCCUUAACCAGAAUCUCUGUUCGCGGAUCAGUUUAAAAGAGUCAAAAACAGUUUUGAAAAAAAAAUUUCAAAGGUGACUUGGCACACCCGCUUAUGCCAAGUGGUGACUCUGAGUUAAUUGUAAAAUGAAUUAUUUUUGAAACAAAUUCUAUCUAUUUUCACUUAAUAAUAAAAAUCCUUUCAAACUUACAAUUAUAUUUCUUUGGUUAAAAAAGGGGUGUCACAGCUCUGGUGACUCUGCUGGGUAAUUUUUUUCAAGAAUUCGAGCUUAUUUUUGGAGUUAUAUCGGCUUAGUUUGACAUUAUGGGUGUAUAGAAGUUGUUUGUGUUAUUGUUUGUAUUUGUUUUAUCAUUGUUGAGUGUUUAUUUUCUACAUGUUUACAGUUUUUUCUCUUAUAUAUUACAGUUUUAUAUCUGACAUCAUUUGCAUAACUCGAGUCAAUUCUUUCGCAAUAAGUUUCGUAGUACACGUGUGUACACGACCUCUAGUUGAGUCACCCUUAUUUUAGGAGGGGGAGCCGUCGAGUGUAUAGAGUAGGUGGAAAACUUUUGCAGCCACUAUCGACCAUACGCUCCCCGAACAGCCUUGUUAGUGGACUCCAGCAUAGGUCAGCCUUUAGGUCAUGAUUAUCUGCAUCAUAUUGAGACCCAGUGGGAUCCGCGUGGCCCUUUGUAAGAGACUCACCUCUAAAGCAUUCCUAAGUGCUAAAUGUUGCAUCUUUGAGGGUAAAAAUGUCAUUUAACAAACUCAUUUGGGGAAAACAUGUGCUAGAAUUAAAGAAAGUGUAUGGCAAGAAAGAGUUCGGAAAAAAAAAGAAAAAAAGUGAGUCAAAAAAGAGUUUCGUAUUUUUUUAGAGUUCUUUAUGGCUUUUUCUUUUCAGAAUCCAAGAACAUCGAAAAAAAUUCUUUUGUUCUCUUUAGCAAGCAUUCGUAAUUCAAAAAUUUUAAAAAGAUUUAUUUUAAUAGGAGCUUUUUAUAAAAGAAAAUUCAAAAAAGUGGUAGAAGUUUUGUACACUUCAUAUAACAAAAAACCAAAAAAAAAAAAUUCUUUCAUAGUUGUCGGCGUUAGUUUUAUGUGAAAUGACAAAUUGAAAACUAAAAAAAAAAGAAAAAUAUUUUAUCAAUUGUUUUUCAUUGUUUGUUUUGGUCAUGUCCCUCAAUUCGUGGUCCAUUAGUAUCUUUAAUUGUCUAAUCUGGACGAACUACGCACCCUGAUUCUCCUUCUGAGAGAAUUAAAUACGUAGGCAGCCUAUUGUGAGUUCGAGAAUCUUAUUUAAAAAAUUUAAAAAGAUUUUCUUCACUCUUUAUUAGAGUAGGUGUCAUAUAUAUCUCUAAAAGAAAACCACAAAAAGAUUUUCCUUCAAUAGUUUCAAGUUUCAUUUUCAUAUGAAAUAAAAAAUUGAAAACCUAGAAGAUUUUUUUUUUGGUAAUCAUAAGUUUCAUUUUGUAUAGAAAUCUGAAAAAAAUUCAAAAAGAUUUUCUUUACUCUUUGUUAGAGUAGGUGUCAUAUAUAUCUUUAAAAGAAAACCACAAAAAGAUUUUUCUUUAAUAGUUUUAAGUUUUAUUUUUCGUAUGAAAUUCAAAAUUGAAAACCCAGAAAGAUUUUUCUUUGGUAAUCAUAAGUUUCAUUUUGUAUAGGAAGCUAAAAAUUUUAAAAAGAUUUUCGGCAAUUCUUUUGACAAUUUGCGAUAUUCUUUUCUUCUUAAAGUUUCAAGAAAAAAAAAAGAGUUGAUCGAUUGUUUUGUGGCCAAACAUCACGAUCUACGCACACCUGAUUCUCCUCUCUCGGGGGUGAGAUACGUAGGCGCCCUUCUUAGGUUCGGUGAUCUUUUUCAAAGAAAAGGAAAAAAAGAAAAAAGUUCUAAGAAAGUGUUGAACUCUAACACGUUUGUUAUCUCUUAUUCAGUUAGUUUAAGGUGGUUGGUUUGUGGCAUUGUGACAUCGUAGCUGGUCCUCUACAUCACACCAAAUCCAAGUAAGGGUUAGUUGUGUCCAACAAGGAUAUAGAGAAUGACAUCAUGGAUCAAAUAAAAAGUCAAGAAAAUGAGAGUUUAAAGCAAGAGAUUAGGAGACUAAGACAACAAAUGAUGAAAAUGCACCGAGCUUGGGCCAGUGGGUUGCCUCCUCCUUUGUUUCUCGCUAUUGAUCCCUUGAGUUAUUCACCUAAAUUGCAAAGUCAUAUUUCUACUGUUGUUGAUGCACCACAACAUGACUCGGGAUUUAUUCCAAGCCAAAUGCAUCCCAAUACUUCCACCACUCGUUCUCUAGCUUCUCAGUAUAAGCCUACUACAUUCACAACACCAAAUGUCAUCUAUGAGUUUGGUGCUCAACCUUCUACUGAGGCUUCCACCAAAUGGUUUCCCAUGCCGCUAGUGAACCCAUGUUCAAUACUCUUGAUGAUCAUCGCUAUACUCCUAAGUCUACUUUUAAGUUAACUGGACCAGCGAAAUUUCUUACCAAGAAGUCUGACAUGGAAGAAGAGCAAGAGAAGAUGGUUGGAAAAAUGAAGAGUGCAGAAAAUGCUACGAGAAGUUCCCUAGGACUCGUGGGUAAAGAAGAUGUUUCAUAUAAAGACUGGGGCAUGUCUUCAAGUGUCAACCUUUCUCAAAGUUUUGAGAUAUCAAAAUUUGAGGAGCGUGAUGGACAUAAAGAUGUCGUGCAACAUUUGGGACGAUAUUGUAAUCAAUUAAGGAAAACAGAAGGGAAGAAGAAUAAAAAUAUACCUAUUGUUGUUCCAGGGGCAAAGCAGAGCUCGAAAGGUCCCACUCAUUAAUAUUGCCAGUCUCAAGCCUAAGUUCAUUUCCAAGCUCCAUAUAAUCACUCCCAAAAUCCAUUAUACUUCACCCCCUCCAUAUCUAGUAUACUGCACGCAACCAUAUGUUCAACUUUCUUCUUACCCACAACAGCGUACAUCAACUCCUUAGAGUCAUCCUCUAACUCCAUAAAUAUAUCAAAGCCCUUCUAGGCCUGAUGUUUCAUCCAAUUCAAACAAUAAAAAGAGGAAAAAGUCUAGAGAUAGUUUCUCACCAAUUGUAGAGUCGUAUACUAGUUUAUUCCAGAGAUUGGUACAGUGGAGCAUGAUCAUUCCUCUCCUUGGGUAUACUCCUGAUCCGCAUUUAAGAAGUUUUGAUCCUAAUGUAUGAUGUGCAUAUCAUUCUAAUGUUCAGGGUUACAGUAUUGAAGAUUGUCGUGCUUUGAAAAGAGAAAUAGAAAAGAUGAUUCAAGAUAAAUCGAUUAUGGUGCAGAACAUUGAUGGUGUUGAAAGCUCUAGUCAUGCUGAUGUGCAAACCAGUGGCUAAGAUGUCAGGCUUAACAAAUGAGAAG
Molecule: long non-coding RNA, 5940 nt
Filed under: Capsicum annuum
Lineage: Eukaryota; Viridiplantae; Streptophyta; Magnoliopsida; Solanales; Solanaceae
Description: long non-coding RNA (CANN_LNC006285)
Source: RNAcentral